This 504-nucleotide ribosomal RNA is filed under the name uncultured Sphingobacteriales bacterium. Its description in RNAcentral is "bacterial SSU rRNA". It matches the Rfam family "Bacterial small subunit ribosomal RNA", at positions 903 to 1382 of the family's 1533-position model. Lineage: Bacteria; Pseudomonadati; Bacteroidota; Sphingobacteriia; Sphingobacteriales. The record is from RNAcentral.
CGCCUUGCCAGCCCGCUCAGAAACUUAAAGGAAUUGACGGGGCCCGCACAAGCGGUGGAGCAUGUGGUUUAAUUCGAUGAUACGCGAGGAACCUUACCUGGGCUCGAACGUAAGAUGACUGUAGGUGAAAGCUUACAUCUCUUCGGAGCAUUUUACGAGGUGCUGCAUGGUUGUCGUCAGCUCGUGCCGUGAGGUGUCGGGUUAAGUCCCAUAACGAGCGCAACCCCUACCUUUAGUUGCCAUCAGGUAAUGCUGGGGACUCUAAAGGAACUGCCUACGCAAGUAGUGAGGAAGGCGGGGAUGACGUCAAAUCAGCACGGCCCUUACGUCCAGGGCUACACACGUGCUACAAUGGCCGAUACAGAGGGCAGCUACCUGGUGACAGGAUGCAAAUCUCCAAAGUCGGUCUCAGUUCGGAUCGGAGUCUGCAACCCGACUCCGUGAAGUUGGAUUCGCUAGUAAUCGCGCAUCAGCCAUGGCGCGGUGAAUACGUUCCCGGGCCUU